Long non-coding RNA from Pieris napi, 388 nucleotides. RefSeq lists it as uncharacterized. The transcript is spliced from 2 exons. Lineage: Eukaryota; Metazoa; Arthropoda; Insecta; Lepidoptera; Pieridae. The record is from RefSeq and is a predicted model, not a curated record.
UAUCUGAUGGUGGCUGUACACACUCGGCGAGAGCCUCUCGCCGAGAGUCUCGACCGAGAGGACCGAGAGAAGAGCGCAGCCUGUACACACUCGUUACGUUAUUUGUAUUUAAAACACCGUUAAUAAUGGACGUGGAAACCGCUGCUGCUGUUUGUCUUUGUGCAAUAAGUUAUUAUAAUUUUCUUCACGUUUACCAUAAAAAAAAAAUUACGAAGCCAUGGCGAAGAAGAAGAUGGUGGAUGGUUACUAUGCACCGCAACAGAAAUAGGCGACCGAGAGAGGCGAGACCGACUGCGAGGAAGCGAGGCGAGACGAGAGCUCUACUUUACACUCUCGCCCUCGGCCUGUCUCGGGGUGUCUCGCCGAGUGUGUACAGCUACCAUUAAAU